GAUGAACGCUAGCUACAGGCUUAACACAUGCAAGUCGAGGGGCAGCGGGAUUGAAGCUUGCUUCAAUUGCCGGCGACCGGCGCACGGGUGAGUAACGCGUAUCCAACCUUCCGUACACUCAGGGAUAGCCUUUCGAAAGAAAGAUUAAUACCUGAUGGUAUCUUAAGCACACAUGUAAUUAAGAUUAAAGAUUUAUCGGUGUACGAUGGGGAUGCGUUCCAUUAGGUAGUAGGCGGGGUAACGGCCCACCUAGCCAACGAUGGAUAGGGGUUCUGAGAGGAAGGUCCCCCACAUUGGAACUGAGACACGGUCCAAACUCCUACGGGAGGCAGCAGUGAGGAAUAUUGGUCAAUGGUCGGCAGACUGAACCAGCCAAGUCGCGUGAGGGAAGACGGCCCUACGGGUUGUAAACCUCUUUUGUCGGAGAGUAAAGUACGCUACGUGUAAGUGUAUUGCAAGUAUCCGAAGAAAAAGCAUCGGCUAACUCCGUG
This 491-nucleotide ribosomal RNA is filed under the name uncultured bacterium. RNAcentral describes it as "bacterial SSU rRNA". It matches the Rfam family "Bacterial small subunit ribosomal RNA", at positions 28 to 507 of the family's 1533-position model. The record is from RNAcentral.